GACGAACGCUGGCGGCGUGCUUAACACAUGCAAGUCGAACGGAAAGGCCCUGCUUUUGUGGGGUGCUCGAGUGGCGAACGGGUGAGUAACACGUGAGUAACCUGCCCUUGACUUUGGGAUAACUUCAGGAAACUGGGGCUAAUACCGGAUAGGAGCUCCUGCUGCAUGGUGGGGGUUGGAAAGUUUCGGCGGUUGGGGAUGGACUCGCGGCUUAUCAGCUUGUUGGUGGGGUAGUGGCUUACCGAGGCUUUGACGGGUAGCCGGCCUGAGAGGGUGACCGGCCACAUUGGGACUGAGAUACGGACCAGACUCCUACGGUAGGCAGCAGUGGGGAAUAUUGCACAAUGGGCGGAAGCCUGAUGCAGCAACGCCGCGUGCGGGAUGACGGCCUUCGGGUUGUAAACCGCUUUCGCCUGUGACGAAGCGUGAGUGACGGUAAUGGGUAAAGAAGCACCGGCUAACUACGUG
Molecule: ribosomal RNA, 468 nt
Filed under: uncultured bacterium
Lineage: Bacteria
Description: partial 16S ribosomal RNA
Rfam family: Bacterial small subunit ribosomal RNA
Source: RNAcentral